This 497-nucleotide ribosomal RNA is filed under the name uncultured bacterium. RNAcentral's name for it is "partial 16S ribosomal RNA". It matches the Rfam family "Bacterial small subunit ribosomal RNA", at positions 28 to 507 of the family's 1533-position model. The record is from RNAcentral.
GACGAACGCUGGCGGCGUGCCUAAUACAUGCAAGUUGAGCGCUGAAGGUUGGUACUUGUACCAACUGGAUGAGCAGCGAACGGGUGAGUAACGCGUGGGGAAUCUGCCUUUGAGCGGGGGACAACAUUUGGAAACGAAUGCUAAUACCGCAUAAAAACUUUAAACACAAGUUUUAAGUUUGAAAGAUGCAAUUGCAUCACUCAAAGAUGAUCCCGCGUUGCAUUAGCUAGUUGGUGAGGUAAAGGCUCACCAAGGCGAUGAUACAUAGCCGACCUGAGAGGGUGAUCGGCCACAUUGGGACUGAGACACGGCCCAAACUCCUACGGGAGGCAGCAGUAGGGAAUCUUCGGCAAUGGACGAAAGUCUGACCGAGCAACGCCGCGUGAGUGAAGAAGGUUUUCGGAUCGUAAAACUCUGUUGGUAGAGAAGAACGUUUGUGAGAGUGGAAAGCUCAUCAAGUGACGGUAACUACCCAGAAAGGGACGGCUAACUACGUG